This 867-nucleotide ribosomal RNA is filed under the name Enterococcus casseliflavus. RNAcentral describes it as "bacterial SSU rRNA". It matches the Rfam family "Bacterial small subunit ribosomal RNA", at positions 33 to 872 of the family's 1533-position model. The record is from RNAcentral. Lineage: Bacteria; Bacillati; Bacillota; Bacilli; Lactobacillales; Enterococcaceae.
ACGCUGGCGGCGUGCCUAAUACAUGCAAGUCGAACGCUUUUUCUUUCACCGGAGCUUGCUCCACCGAAAGAAAAAGAGUGGCGAACGGGUGAGUAACACGUGGGUAACCUGCCCAUCAGAAGGGGAUAACACUUGGAAACAGGUGCUAAUACCGUAUAACACUAUUUUCCGCAUGGAAGAAAGUUGAAAGGCGCUUUUGCGUCACUGAUGGAUGGACCCGCGGUGCAUUAGCUAGUUGGUGAGGUAACGGCUCACCAAGGCAACGAUGCAUAGCCGACCUGAGAGGGUGAUCGGCCACACUGGGACUGAGACACGGCCCAGACUCCUACGGGAGGCAGCAGUAGGGAAUCUUCGGCAAUGGACGAAAGUCUGACCGAGCAACGCCGCGUGAGUGAAGAAGGUUUUCGGAUCGUAAAACUCUGUUGUUAGAGAAGAACAAGGAUGAGAGUAAAAUGUUCAUCCCUUGACGGUAUCUAACCAGAAAGCCACGGCUAACUACGUGCCAGCAGCCGCGGUAAUACGUAGGUGGCAAGCGUUGUCCGGAUUUAUUGGGCGUAAAGCGAGCGCAGGCGGUUUCUUAAGUCUGAUGUGAAAGCCCCCGGCUCAACCGGGGAGGGUCAUUGGAAACUGGGAGACUUGAGUGCAGAAGAGGAGAGUGGAAUUCCAUGUGUAGCGGUGAAAUGCGUAGAUAUAUGGAGGAACACCAGUGGCGAAGGCGGCUCUCUGGUCUGUAACUGACGCUGAGGCUCGAAAGCGUGGGGAGCGAACAGGAUUAGAUACCCUGGUAGUCCACGCCGUAAACGAUGAGUGCUAAGUGUUGGAGGGUUUCCGCCCUUCAGUGCUGCAGCAAACGCAUAAGCACUCCGC